AUUGAACGCUGGCGGCAGGCCUAACACAUGCAAGUCGAGCGAGCGGCGGACGGGUGAGUAAUGUCUGGGACACUGCCUGAUGGAGGGGGAUCACUACUGGAAACGGUAGCUAAUACCCCAUACCCUCUGAUGUGCCCAGAAGGGAGGAGCUAGUAGGUGGGGUAACGGCUCACAUAGGCGACGAACCCUAGCUGGUCUGAGAGGAUGACAAGACACACUGGACCGGAGACACGGCCCAGACUCCGACGGGAGGAAGCAGUGGGGAAUAUUGCACAAUGGGCGCAAGCCUGAUGCAGCCAUGCCGCGGGAGUGAAGAAGGCCUUCGGGUUGUAAAGCACGUUCAGCGGGGAGGCGUUAACCGCAGAAGAAGCACCGGCUAACUCCGUGCCAGCAGCCGCGGUAAUAC
This 406-nucleotide ribosomal RNA is filed under the name uncultured bacterium. RNAcentral's name for it is "partial 16S ribosomal RNA". It matches the Rfam family "Bacterial small subunit ribosomal RNA", at positions 29 to 526 of the family's 1533-position model. The record is from RNAcentral.